Triticum aestivum (bread wheat) is the source of this 1856-nucleotide long non-coding RNA. RefSeq lists it as uncharacterized. The record is from RefSeq and is a predicted model, not a curated record. The transcript has 4 exons. NCBI's taxonomy places the organism in Eukaryota, Viridiplantae, Streptophyta, Magnoliopsida, Poales, Poaceae.
AUUCGCUUCGUCGAUGGUCAGUCAUUCAUGGAAAAAAGAUUGGGACGCUUCCGAGACAAUCGGGAUGGGAUCCGAUUUGAUCUGAUUUACUGAGGACCACGUCUGCCAUCCCGUGGCCAGUCUCGUGCGUCCCGCUCCCCACGGGAAGGACUCGUCGGGUAUUUGGGCUCGUCCUCAAACACGUUGAGGCAUGCGGUCGCAUCGCAAGGAUGCAGACGAGGAGCACGUUGUCCGCCGUCGCCUUGGGGGGCCGUGGUCCAUUGGCGUGUCGGGGGCCAAAGGACGUGCCCCCGUUGGAGGCGCCGCCGUUUCCGUUUGUUGACGCGCGCUGUUGGAGGCCGCUUCCGUAGCCCUCCCCGAGCCGUCGUCGCGCACCGAGGGCCAAGGCAAGCGCGGACGUAGGCGAUGGUGGGCUGGUGGCGCGGGUACACAUGCUGCCGGAGCCUAGGCGAGCGCGGCUGCGGGUGUGGCUGGGCAAGCUAGGGUGCGCCGAUGUUAAUGCAUCCAUGCUGCUGCUUGCGCCUCAAUGGCGAGAGCCAAAGGUAUUAAUUCCUGAUAGCGUUUGGUAUAUGCAGGAUAAAAAUAGGUAAGAAGCAACUGAUUAUUGUAGCAAUUGGGUCAAGACUUUAAUUGUGAAAAAAAUCAGAUCAAGACUUUGGUACAUAUACAUGGUUGUAUGGGCCGCUUAAUUCUGUGCAUGACUCCGAUUCAUCCCUGAUUCCCUUCUGUAUGUUCCUCUCAUUGCUGGCUGAAGACAGUGUCGUCUUGCUUCUAGCGUGGGCAAGUGGAAGAGAUGAUUUCUUCUCAUGUGCCCAAAACGCUCGGAUGGAAGUGACUCGCUGGCCGGCUUGGAAGCUGAUUUCUCCAGCAAUCAGGCCAUGAUCGGCAAUCUUCGGGAGGAAUUGCAUGCGCCAUCCUGGUUAUACCUUCCUCCAGUUCAAUCGCUCCAGACAUGGGUGUGCAUGGCUGGAGUCUGCACCGGAUAGUGUUCAUCCUUGCCUUUGAUCACCUGGCCUACUGUAAAAAGAUCUAAUUGCUUCAUAGUCAUAAUUUGCUUAUAUCUAGAGUUCAUAUAGAUAUUAGUAAGCAGAUAGCCUGUUUUUUGUCAAAUGGUUAUGCAGGUUCGAGCAAGCUCAAAGUAGGCUGGGGAGGAUGACCAGUGAUUAUACUGAUGCUGGUCCAUAUUUCUUGUGCAGGUUCGAGCAAGCACAUCGCCCACGUAAUAUAACUCUGAAAAAAUGGUCAGCAAUAUACAUUAAAAGACGGAGUUGCUGAUGCCAUAUGUCAUUUCUGACAAUAUGAUCAACAUGUGACGUGUCUGAGAUCCGUCGCAAUGCAUGGGCACGAACAGUGGUGGCAAGAGAUGCACCAUCAAGGGCGGCGGCGGGUGGCUUUAUCAGGUGGGCUAGAGCCACAACCACAACCAAUAAUAUGCUUGAGAAGCCUCCGUGAUGUGCUCCAGCGCCGAGCAACAAGUCGGUGGUGCAAUGCUGAUAGAACAAUGACAACAGCGUUCGUGAGAACCGAGAGCACCCACGCAACUAUUUUCCUCUACGAUGGUAGGGGGAGAACCGGGAUGAGAUCUACGAGGUAGCUCGGCCACAACGAAGGCGACUUGAAUUGUGAGCAGAACAACGCCGGUUAUGCAGCCACCGAUUGAGAGUGAAUUAGUGAAAGCAAUACUUGCAUCUAGGAUGGGAUAGCAUACUAUGUCUUGUGCUUGUGCCGAUGGAUGGUCUACAAUGACGACAAUCUUUUGAAAUCAUUAUCCUAGAUGGUUCCAUCGAAUAGUAUGGGUGUGAUGUAUCUUUUCAUCUUUGCUUCAUAUUUAAUUAGGUGCAUAUUUCGUGAGAUAA